RNAcentral lists this transfer-messenger RNA (366 nucleotides) under Nitrospinaceae. RNAcentral describes it as "Nitromaritima sp003451695 Standard tmRNA". It matches the Rfam family "transfer-messenger RNA". Rfam says of the family: Bacterial tmRNA, also known as 10Sa RNA or SsrA, is named for its dual tRNA and mRNA-like properties. Its role is to liberate the mRNA from a stalled ribosome. The record is from RNAcentral. RNAcentral also lists the same sequence under 2 other names. Lineage: Bacteria; Pseudomonadati; Nitrospinota; Nitrospinia; Nitrospinales.
GGGGGCGAUCUGGUUUCGACGGGAGGAAUGAGACGGAGGUUGCAUGCACGGGAUGCCGUUGGCCCGUUAAAAAACGGCGCAAACAUAAUCGCUAACGAUUAUGAAGUAGCAGUAGCGGCUUAACUAACCCUUAAGUCAGUUACCGUCCUUCCUGCUUUUGUCCGUGGGGUGGAAAAGGACGUCAUUUAAGCGGACUGGUCUGGCGCGUGAGUUCCGGGCGCAUCGGACGAGAUUUUUAGGAACUGGCCCGAAUCGGAUCCUGUCUCUGGGAGCUGGUUCAGGCGAGAUUCAAAUCAGAGAAUAAGCAUGUAGACGCCUUCGGUUGACACCUUUCGGACGGGGGUUCGAUUCCCCCCGCCUCCACCA